RNAcentral lists this ribosomal RNA (497 nucleotides) under uncultured bacterium. RNAcentral's name for it is "partial 16S ribosomal RNA". It matches the Rfam family "Bacterial small subunit ribosomal RNA", at positions 28 to 507 of the family's 1533-position model. The record is from RNAcentral.
GAUGAACGCUGGCGGCGUGCCUAAUACAUGCAAGUCGAGCGAACAGAUAAGGAGCUUGCUCCUUUGACGUUAGCGGCGGACGGGUGAGUAACACGUGGGUAACCUACCUAUAAGACUGGAAUAACUCCGGGAAACCGGGGCUAAUGCCGGAUAACAUUUAGAACCGCAUGGUUCUAAAGUGAAAGGUGGUUUUGCUAUCACUUAUAGAUGGACCCGCGCCGUAUUAGCUAGUUGGUAAGGUAACGGCUUACCAAGGCAACGAUACGUAGCCGACCUGAGAGGGUGAUCGGCCACACUGGAACUGAGACACGGUCCAGACUCCUACGGGAGGCAGCAGUAGGGAAUCUUCCGCAAUGGGCGAAAGCCUGACGGAGCAACGCCGCGUGAGUGAUGAAGGUCUUCGGAUCGUAAAACUCUGUUAUUAGGGAAGAACAAAUGUGUAAGUAACUGUGCACGUCUUGACGGUACCUAAUCAGAAAGCCACGGCUAACUACGUG